CCUACGGGUGGCAGCAGUGGGGAAUAUUGGGCAAUGGGCGCAAGCCUGACCCAGCAACGCCGCGUGAAGGAAGAAGGCUUUCGGGUUGUAAACUUCUUUCGUCAGGGAAGAGUAUAAGACGGUACCUGACGAAUAAGCUACGGCUAACUACGCGCCAGCAGCCGCGGUAAUACGUUGGCGGCAAGCGUUAUCCGGAUUUACUGGGAGUAAAGGGGGCGCAGGCGGCAAUGCAAGCCAGGCGUGAAAGCCCGGGGCCCAACCCCGGGACUGCACUUGGUACUGCAUGGCUAGAGUACCGGAGAGGCGGGCAGAAUUCCAUGUGUAGCGGUGAAAUGCGUAGAGAUUAGGAGGAACACCGGUGGCGAAGGCGGCCUGCUGGACAAUGACUGACGUUGAGGCCCGAAGGCGUGGGGAGCAAACAGGAUUAGAUACCCCUGUAGUC
Molecule: ribosomal RNA, 442 nt
Filed under: uncultured bacterium
Lineage: Bacteria
Description: partial 16S ribosomal RNA
Rfam family: Bacterial small subunit ribosomal RNA
Source: RNAcentral